UGAGGAAUAUUGGUCAAUGGGCGAGAGCCUGAACCAGCCAAGUCGCGUGAAGGAAGACUGCCUUAUGGGUUGUAAACUUCUUUUAUACAGGAAUAAAAAGGCUUACGUGUAGGCCAUUGCAAGUACUGUAUGAAUAAGCAUCGGCUAACUCCGUGCCAGCAGCCGCGGUAAUACGGAGGAUGCGAGCGUUAUCCGGAUUUAUUGGGUUUAAAGGGUGCGCAGGCGGGCUUUUAAGUCAGCGGUGAAAUCUGGACGCUUAACGUCCAAACUGCCGUUGAAACUGGGAGUCUUGAGUAUGGAUGAAGUAGGCGGAAUUCGUUGUGUAGCGGUGACAUGCAUAGAUAUAACGAGGAACUCCGAUUGCGUAGGCAGCUUACUAAGCCAUAACUGACGCUCAUGCACGAAAGCGUGGGGAUCAAACAGGAUUAGAUACCCUGGUAGUCCACGCCGUAAACGAUGAUUACUAGUUGUAUGCGAUAUGAUAGUAUGUGACUAAGCGAAAGCGAUAAGUAAUCCACCUGGGGAGUACGCCGCAACGGUGAAACUCAAAGGAAUUGACGGGGUCAUAGCUGUUUCCUG
RNAcentral lists this ribosomal RNA (579 nucleotides) under uncultured bacterium. RNAcentral's name for it is "partial 16S ribosomal RNA". It matches the Rfam family "Bacterial small subunit ribosomal RNA", at positions 355 to 1376 of the family's 1533-position model. The record is from RNAcentral.